GACUUUUCCUCACUUGUUAGGCUGCUUGGAGAAGUAUUUGUACAUAUUUGGAAGUAUGCUGAUUGAGAUAGAUUACGUCCUCUGGGUGAUGGAGUACGUGUAAUCAUGGAGAUGUCAACUGGUUAACGUGUUAUGGUCUAUUAGGUACCUCUAGGGUGUCCGAGUGAUUUGUAGUGUGCAUAUUUUUAGCCCAUGUUACCCUUAUUGCUUGAGCUGCACUUAUUUAAUGCCGGAAGUAUGUUGGUUCAAUCUAUGAUGGAAAAUUAUCAAUGGAUCCCUGCAAUUAAACCAUGAAUUGCUUAGCUGUAAAGAUUUUAAUAAGGUGGCAUUUGAAGAGAGGAAGUAUUGGAUGGUUGGGGAGUUGUAGGUAUUCACUGGAAUGAUUUCAGAUACUCCUGUUCAUAUAUUCUGUUUACAGGACUGUGAUGUUCCCUGCAAUUCACCAUGAAGUGCUAAGCUGUAAAGAUUUCUAUAAGGUGGCAUUUGUAGAGAGGAAGUAUUGGAGGGUUGGGGAGUUGUAGGAAUUCACCGGAAUGAUUUCAGAUACUCCUGUU
Molecule: unclassified non-coding RNA, 554 nt
Filed under: Hevea brasiliensis (rubber tree)
Lineage: Eukaryota; Viridiplantae; Streptophyta; Magnoliopsida; Malpighiales; Euphorbiaceae
Source: RNAcentral